GGAAGUUGUAAAUGAUAAGAAUUCCUCCUGCCCAAUGUCGAACACACAGAGGAAGGCAAAGGUCGCGUCAGGACACCAGCCGCUUGUUUACUGUCUCUGAAGCUGAAGUUCUGAAGAGCCACGCGGCUCUCUUCAGGCCUUCAGGACCUCUUCACUUCUUUCGUUAUGACCGCAGGGUGGACCGUGAACGCACCGCGGUGAGUUCGAGUUGUACGUACAAAGCAACAACACACUGACUUCAGCUACAACUGUGGGACGUUAAUUCCAGUGUGCGCGACUCUGCAGCAGGUGACAUCUCAAACAAGCUGAAGAUUAGAAUGGAACUUACCGGCGUGAUAAACAGGACACGACAUUUCUGAUGUAAACAGGAAGGAAUAAACAACAACACAGGACCCAACACAAGGUUUAAUGUCCUUCAAUAAGACUGCGACGUGUUGAAGUGACGUUUAUACAGACGCACAGCAGGGAAUUGUGGGAAAUGUAGUUAGGGCCUAAGAAGCCUUUGUACGGGGUUUAACUUACUUUCCCCAGUAGUGGAAGAAGUAUUCAGAUCAUUUACUCGAAUUAAAGUAAUUAUAGUUAACUUUGUGUCCUUGGCACCUUUCAAAACACAAUUACAGGGGCCUUGAAAAAUAGGAAAAGGGAAAUUGAAGGCAAAUAAUAGGAAACUGUUGAGAAAAAGCUACCAAUAUUUGAAGAUCACACAGCAUUGGAGCACUGAAAUAGAGAUAUAUAAAAAAAAAAAGGUGAGAAAAGACUAAACUAAAUAGAUAGUAAGGUCAGAACUAUGAGGAAGCAAAUGCUUUAAAAGUGUCUGUAGCAGAGAUUUACGAGAGGAUAAGGAGUUUGCGUGACGUUUCUCCUCUGACAGAAAAGUCCCAGUCACCUCUGGUCCUCUGCUGGAACUGUGGAGUGGCGAGUUGGGUCUUUAUUCAGAAGGACUGGUCAAAAGAUCUGCAGUGUAGUUCAAUGCAAGUCCAUAUCAGGCCUUAAAAGUCAGCAAUAUAAACUUUAGAUUAAUUCUAAAAUCUACUGGAAGCCAGCAAAGAGAAACUAGAUUAGGUGAGAAGUGUGGCUGCUGGUUUUGGUCGAGCUCUUAUUUAUGUAGACCGUCAGCUCAGGCAGGUUAAGAGAGGGAAAGUAUCUCUACACUUAAAAAAUGUUAUGCUGCAAGUAGAAGUCAUGCAUUCAAAACCUAAGCAAAAUGAUCAAAAACUUGUACUUAAAGUAAGAAGUAAAAUGACUAAUAGUGCAGUAAAAUGUUUACUCUGUUUUGUCUGUGUCUGUGAUAGCCAUAAAAAGUCCACAUUUUAAAACCUCAGCCAAGUAGUUUCAGCUUUGUGAGUGUUUUUUUUAAGAUUUGAUUUAGAAUAUGAAAUUAACGAAUAGUUCUUUGGAAAAAUUCAAAGUUAACACAUCUGCAGAUAAGUGGUUUCUGCCAAAGCUGUUAGACAGGAGAAGUAUCAUAUUUCCUGACAUGUAGUGGAGUGGAAACUAUGAAAGUUGCAUAAAUGCCAAUACUAAUGUAAAGCACACAGACAUGUCUGAUAAAAUAAAGCAUACUUUAUUGACAUUUUACAGUGUACUCAAUCUGGACCACUACAUAACUGUCUUUUUUACUACUAACUACUUUACCUAUAAAGGCACAUUUACAUUGCCUGUGUUUUUUUAUUUAUAUAUUUAUAAAAUCUCUGCAGGCCAAAGCACACACGUACGACUAAAAUGCAUGCAUUGCCCAGAUCUUAAGCUCUGUUAAGCUUUGCUCUUUUUGCAGUUCUUGAGAGCGUCUGCCAGGGCGUGAAGUGCCAUGUCAGCGUUGGUCUUCUCACAGUUGUAUCCCAUCAAUCCAAUCCUCAUCACCUGAUGAAAAGUGCGAUGGAGAGAAGAGUGAGUCCACAGUGACUCAGCAGCAUGAUUCAGGAAGCUAUAAAAACACCUGACUUCUGACAUUGCUCUCGUUAUAAUUGUUUACGGUAAAAUCCCCCCCUUUUUUUUAAUUCCAAAAAUACCUUUUAAGAAAAAGUAUUUACUGUAAAGGGAUAAAAUACCAGCAGGAGCUUACCUUGCCAAUGGAAGGACCCAGGCCUCCAGUCAUCUCCAUCUGGUGGUGUUUCAUUAUGUACAUCAACAACUCCCUCCAGUCGUAACCGUUGGGGAUUGCAAUGGUGGUGACGGAUGGAAGCCUUAAAUCCUGCAGGACAUGUCACAGAAUUAAAAGAAAAAUCGGGAGUCUACAAUCUUACAGCUCAAACAGGCAGGUUCGGUAUCUGUUUUCUUUUGGCACAAUACGUUUGUUGUUCUUAAGUAUCAGGUUCUUUGUUGUAGUUUCGUAUGGCACCAUUAUAUAGUUGUUAACCCGCCUCACCCUUUCAGGGACGAAGAGCUUGAGUCCCAGGUCUUCCAGUCCUCUGUACAGAUAGGAUGCCACUUCCUUGUGUUUCUUCCAGGACUCCUCCAGCCCCUAGAGGGAGACAAAGGACAAGGCAGUUCAGGUGCUGGCAGGGGCUGGUGAGUUCACGGUUAAUGAAUGGUGUGGUAAAUGUGUGAGGUGGUGAAAAGUACCACGGCCCUCGAUUCGAAGAAAAGCCUUUGAAUAGAUGAAAAAGUGGUAAAAUGCUGAUUUACCUUCUCAACAAGAAUCGCCAGACCCUCUCUGAGACCGAAGAAUCCAGACACAGGACCAGUGUGGUGGUAACUAACAUCCAGAGCACAUUCGAUUAAACAUGCUUCUCAUACCAAAUAUUGGUGUUCUUUAAUAAUAUGAACAUUUCAUAGUUAAAAAAUAAAGUUCAAGGUCAUUCUCAAAGAUCAUCUGCAGUUUCCAAUUUAAGUCAAGUUCAUGUGGGUAUGAGUAGAACAUUGACGCUUGGUUGCAGCAGACUUACAUUCUUGCUGGUUGGCCAUCACAACCCCAGUAGUUGGAUAAAUGUGUCAUGUCAAAGAGGUAGGACACUGGUUUUGUUUUCCUGUUAAACAUCUUGUGGCUGUGAAAGGUAUCAGAGACAAAGAGAUUCAAUUACUCUUUUUUUUGUUGUCAUUUCUUUUUAAACUGUUGUGAAAAUGUACGGAGCUGUACGAGCAGCUACACACACCACAGAGGGCUUUCUUACCACGCUCUGUCAUUGAACGAGAUGGGGGCUGUGCCAGGAGGCGCAUUCAGGGCCUUCUGAGAGCCAGUGUACAGGAUGUCAAUAUCUGGGAGAACAAGAGGCACAGUAUAUCACAUGCAAGUGCAUGGUAGCAGGCUGAUUAACUCUCAAUUCAUGUUUUACAUAAUUUCCUUACUUUGCUUGUCCAUAAAAAUUGGUGCUGCUCCAAGAGAAGCGACUGUGUCGACCAGAAAGAGGCAGUUAUGUCUGCGGGAGUGAGGGUUGAAAAAUAUGCCAUUAUGCUUUGUAAUUAGCCCAUGUAGUUUAUGUUCUGUUUCAGAGAGAUGCAGAGAAAUGCAGAGUGAGCCUCACUUUCUGCAGAUGUCCCCAAUGCCAUCUAUUGGGUGACAGAGGCCAGCGGAGGACUCUCCAUGUGUGAGGAAAAACAGGACGGGCUUGUGUUUUUCAAUGGCCUAGAGACAAGUAAGAAUAGAGUCAAUUAUUUAUUACAAAACAUGUGUUUAGUAACUGUUUAUGUUUGUUAUGUGUAUUAAUUAUGUAUUGGUUCUUAUAGAUGAGCUUGUACAGGA
Pleuronectes platessa (European plaice) is the source of this 3679-nucleotide long non-coding RNA. RefSeq lists it as uncharacterized. The record is from RefSeq and is a predicted model, not a curated record. The transcript is spliced from 2 exons. NCBI's taxonomy places the organism in Eukaryota, Metazoa, Chordata, Actinopteri, Pleuronectiformes, Pleuronectidae.